RNAcentral lists this ribosomal RNA (506 nucleotides) under uncultured bacterium. RNAcentral's name for it is "bacterial SSU rRNA". It matches the Rfam family "Bacterial small subunit ribosomal RNA", at positions 15 to 518 of the family's 1533-position model. The record is from RNAcentral.
GAUAUGGCUCAGGACAAACGCUGGCGGCGUGCCUAACACAUGCAAGUCGAACGAAGCACAUUGGAAAGAGACUUCGGUCAAUGGAAAGUGUGACUUAGUGGCGGACGGGUGAGUAAUGCAUGAGCAACCUGCCCUGGAGAGGGGGACAACAGCUGGAAACGGCUGCUAAUACCGCAUAAUACUGCGGGAAGGCAUCUUCCUGCAGUCAAAGAUUUAUCGCUCUGGGAUGGGCUCAUGUCUGAUUAGUUAGUUGGCGGGGCAACGGCCCACCAAGACUACGAUCAGUAGCCGGACUGAGAGGUUGAACGGCCACAUUGGGACUGAGAUACGGCCCAGACUCCUACGGGAGGCAGCAGUGGGGAAUAUUGGGCAAUGGGCGCAAGCCUCGACCCAGCAACGCCGCGUGAAGGAAGAAGGCUUUCGGGUUGUAAACUUCUUUUAUCAGGGACGAAGAAAGUGACGGUACCUGAUGAAUAAGCCACGGCUAACUACGUGCCAGCAGCGGC